RNAcentral lists this ribosomal RNA (253 nucleotides) under uncultured bacterium. RNAcentral's name for it is "partial 16S ribosomal RNA". It matches the Rfam family "Bacterial small subunit ribosomal RNA", at positions 524 to 776 of the family's 1533-position model. The record is from RNAcentral.
UACAGGGGGGGCAAGCGUUGUUCGGAAUUACUGGGCGUAAAGGGCUCGUAGGUGGCCAACUAAGUCAGACGUGAAAUCCCUCAGCUUAACUGGGGAACUGCGUCUGAUACUGGAUGGCUUGAGUUUGGGAGAGGGAUGCGGAAUUCCAGGUGUAGCGGUGAAAUGCGUAGAUAUCUGGAGGAGCACCGGUGGCGAAGGCGGCAUCCUGGACCAACACUGACACUGAGGAGCGAAAGCCAGGGGAGCAAACGGG